This 1978-nucleotide small RNA is filed under the name Pongo abelii (Sumatran orangutan). RNAcentral's name for it is "processed transcript". Lineage: Eukaryota; Metazoa; Chordata; Mammalia; Primates; Hominidae. The record is from RNAcentral.
AUGCCACCACAGUGGCCUGUUGGGGAGCAAAGGAGAAAUCUGUGGACCGAAGCAUACAAACGGUGGUAUCUUGUCUGUUCAAUCCAGAGAACAGACUGAGAAACUCUGUUGUUACUCAAGAUGACCACUUCAAGGAUAAAAGAGUGCAUCACUUUAGAAGAAGUCGGGCAAUGCUUAAAUCUGUUUGAUCCUCCUGGCUAUCUAGUUACAUGGGAAGUUGCUGGUUUUGAAUAUUACGCUAAAAGUUUUCCACUAUUAUAGAAAUUCUGAAUUUUGGUAAAUCACACUCAAAACUUUGUGUAUAAGUUGUAUUAUUAGACUCUAGUUUUAUCUUAAACUGAAACUGUUGUUCAUUAGAUGUUUAUUUAGAAGCUGGUUCUGUGUUGAAAUAUAGUUGAAAGUAAAAAAAAAUUGAGACUGAAAGAAACUUUAAGAUUUAUCUGCAAGGAUUUUUUAAAAAUUGGCAUUUUAAGUGUUUAAAAGCAAAUACUGAUUUUCAAAAACAAUGUUUUUAAAAACCUAUUUUGAAAGGUCAGAAUUUUGUUGGUCUGAAUACAAGCAUUUCACUUCUCCAACAAGUACCUGUGAACAGUACAGUAUUUACAAUAUUGAGCUUUGCAUUUAUGAUUUGUCUAGAAAUUUACCACAAAAGCAAAAUUUUUAAAACUGCAUUUUUAAUCAGUGGAACUCAAUAUAUAUAGUUAGCUUUAUUGAAGUCUUCUUAUCUAAACCCAGCAAAACAGAUUCAAAGCAAACAGUCCAAUCAGUGGGUCAUAUGUUUAUUCAAAAUAUUUUAUCUUUUAUCUAGAAUCCACACAUAUAUAUCCUAUUUGAUUAGGAUAGUAAUUAGGAUAACUAAAAUUCUGGGCCUAAUUUUUUAAAGAAUCCAAGACAAACUAAACUUUACUAGGUACAUAAGCUUCUCAAUGAGUCACCAUUCUUCUUUUUUGUAAAAACUUUUUUCUUUGAAAUGCUAAACUUGGCUGUAUGUCAAAUUGUGCAAAAUAUUGGUAUUAAAGAAAGCUGCAACUUUUUUAUGUCACUUAGAGGUUAAUCAGAGUAUCUGAAGGGAAUUGUUUUUAUAAAAACAUUGAAAUAUUAGUUACUUGCUAUGAAUAGAUUUAGUCUGUUAUAUUUCCUUUUGUAAAGUAAAAUAUGUCCAGAAGAGUCGCAUUGUUUCUAGAUUAGCUGGUGUCUUCAUUUUACAUUGUGACAAACAACUAGAGCACCAGAGCCCUUUUGCUAUACCCACAGUCUUUCUUUUCCAGCCUUUGUCACUAGUCUUUGAGGAGGUUUGCUCCUAGAACUGGUGAUAUAAAGAAUGAAAGUAGCUGUAUGAGGAGAGCAGUUCAAGGGCCAAACCCUGGAACGGUAGCAAUGGGAUAUAAUACCUUUCUAAGGGAAAAAGUUGUAUCAGUAUCAUUUGAUCUGCCAUGGACAUGAGUUCAAAGCGGCUUUGUGGCCCUUCUUUCAAUGACUUCUUCCCUAAAACGUAGAGACUCUAACUUAAUGUAGUUACUAUGAGCCAUAUUACUAGUGCCCCCUAGGGUCUAUAAUUCCUCAAAAUGUUCAUUCUGAAUCUGAAGGAGAGAGUCUUUUAACUUUAGAAUUCCCAAGAGGGCUUUAUUACGCCUCAGAAAUUGAAAGCACCAUGAAUUUGUCCAUUUGAAAAUGAUCUGUAGUUUUUUUGGUGCUGUAACAUUCUGACACGUAUCAUUCUGUGAUUAAAUCUCCAGCUUACUAUAAAUGAUAUCUAUAUUCUAAAGAGCUACUUCUAAUUAUUUCAAUAUGACCUUAAGGAAAAGUAAGGGAAUAAAUUUUUGUCUUUGUUGGAGUGAAGUAUUUAAAAGAGUAAGGGUAAAAGAGAGGAAGUCCUGAACCUUUCAAAAUGGAAAAUUAAUUCUAAACUUAGAAAUAUGCUUCUGCCUAUUGCUGAUACUGUCUUUGCAUACAUGAAUAAAAAUAAACUUUUUUUCUU